GGUCUCCGUUGGUGAACCAGCGGAGGGAUCAUUACUGAGUUUACGCUCUACAACCCUUUGUGAACAUACCUAUAACUGUUGCUUCGGCGGGUAGGGUCUCCGCGACCCUCCCGGCCUCCCGCCUCCGGGCGGGUCGGCGCCCGCCGGAGGAUAACCAAACUCUGAUUUAACGACGUUUCUUCUGAGUGGUACAAGCAAAUAAUCAAAACUUUUAACAACGGAUCUCUUGGUUCUGGCAUCGAUGAAGAACGCAGCGAAAUGCGAUAAGUAAUGUGAAUUGCAGAAUUCAGUGAAUCAUCGAAUCUUUGAACGCACAUUGCGCCCGCCAGCAUUCUGGCGGGCAUGCCUGUUCGAGCGUCAUUUCAACCCUCAAGCUCUGCUUGGUGUUGGGGCCCUACAGCUGAUGUAGGCCCUCAAAGGUAGUGGCGGACCCUCCCGGAGCCUCCUUUGCGUAGUAACUUUACGUCUCGCACUGGGAUCCGGAGGGACUCUUGCCGUAAAACCCCCAAUUUUCCAAAGGUUGACCUCGGAUCAGGUAGGAAUACCCGCUGAACUUAAGCA
RNAcentral lists this ribosomal RNA (561 nucleotides) under Colletotrichum gloeosporioides. Its description in RNAcentral is "eukaryotic LSU rRNA". The stretch from base 207 to 360 matches the Rfam family "5.8S ribosomal RNA". Lineage: Eukaryota; Fungi; Ascomycota; Sordariomycetes; Glomerellales; Glomerellaceae. The record is from RNAcentral.